CUCGGCCCGCUCUGCGGACGGCCUGUAGGGCCCGCCCGCUGUUUGCUGCGUCCUGGCGGUGUGCUGUCGCUGAGGAGGCGGGAGCCACAGCCGCCCCACAGCGUCCCGAGGCCGUGGUUCUAAGGCCCAGCCGUGAUUUUUCGGCACGCGGCCGUAUUGGAGGCGGGGCCGGGCGAACUCUGUCCGGGUCUGUACGUGUGUUCAGGAGUGCGCGCCAGGACAGGCCUCCCCUGUUUUGGGCAGCACCUCGUGUGCCUGGCAUCGCGAGGGAACUAGUUUCCAUGGCUGUGAAUUCGGGGGCCUCGCUGGAGCCUCCGGUGUGCUAGGGUCUGUGCUAAACCCUCGAGAUGCGUGACAUAAAAGCCCCGCCGUUACACUUCUCCUUCUGCUGUGGUGAAGAAUCAUGCCCUUAAAAUACUCUGACAGGCAUUUUAGGAGAAAAGAAAAAUUUUGUGGGAUCUCCGAAGGAGCACUCCCCUCUUCGGGAUUGGGGCUGGGGAUGAAGGGAGCAAGGGAGAGGUGAAAGAGCAGAUAAAGCUGGAUGCUUUAUUCACCCUGACAAAAGUGUGCACACCUGUAAAUAGGGCUUUUGUCCACCUCAUAAUGCAUCUCCCUGGCAGAAAUAUCGCAAAGUGAAAGCUAACAAUGGCUAACAGCACACAAAAUUUGUCAUUAACCAAAGAAUGAUGCAAAUCUUUGAUGAAACAGAUCUGCAAAGAAUUUGACACAGGAGAAUUAGAUAUGGUAGAAAUAAUAGCAGCCAAGAGCAAUUCAGAAGGCAGAAGCUAUAAUUAAUGAAAUGACAUGGUUACAACUAUUUAAAUAGAAUGUUAAUUUUGUUAACGUUUUUCGGUAAAAAAAUAAAAUGGGAGAAAAUUGGAGCAAUUUAAGAGUAAUAAAAUUGAUCAAGGAAUAAAACUGGCUUAAUGGAGUUUUCAUUCUCUACCCGUAUUAUUCAAUAUUGGCAUAUCUGGUUAAAACCUUUUAUGAGAACAACUCUACAAUCAAUAACAGCAUCAAAAGGCCCUGGGCCACUUCACGGCUUAUAAAGAGGUAAACUUAAGCCAUUCCCAACAGGCAUAACUGAAGCAUAGUAGGAAAAAACACAAGUUUUAGUAUGAAAGGGGCCUGGAUCUUUGUCAGUGGUUUUCCUCUUGCUCACUAGGUUUCCUUAACCAAGCUGUUUGGCCUUUCCAAAUCCUGACUUACUCCUCAGUAAAAUAGGGAAAUACUCUACCUCCCAGUCAUAUUAUCUCAUUAAUUCUCAAAGCUUCUAGCACAGGACCUGACAGAAAAUGGUAGACUCUGUCAUUUAAACUCCAGACUUUUCCACUCUAACCAACAUCUUGGCAGGGGAAUCUAGAAUGUCAUACACUUCUCUGCCUCCUUAAAAUGUUUUACUAAACAAAUUAUGCCCUUUCCUGGAGGCCUCAGAAUCAUCAUUAUGACCAACUCUUGCAUUAUGCUAGAGCAGCGCUCCAGCCAUGAGGCGAAGCCCUCGGCACUGGUGCUGGAGCUUGAACAUCAUGGGUCCUGUGGUCUCCUUUCUUACAGCACCUUUUCAUUACUGGGACUGAGAAGCCAUAAUCAAGAAGUGCUAAGAGCAAGCGUUCACCUUUAUCCCUGCAUCUGCAAGGAAGGAGUCACUCAUCAGACCUGGGAGAACAGGACACCCUCUGGAAGAGUGUGACUAGUGGAUGGAGCUGCUUUCCCUCGAAACCUGCAAGUCAGCUAAAAGUUUCUGGAAAGCUCCAUACUUAGUUGGUUCCUGAUCUAAGAAAGAUUUGGCCUCUGCUUAGGUUAUGGAUGAAAGAGCAGGGUAUGGAGAGAAAACACCUCCAAUGAAACUAGAAUAAGGACAAGGAGUCAAGAGAAGAAAAAGUCAAGGAAGAGCGCAGCUUGGUUUCACUUUGCUCAAAGUCAAGUCUCAAGAUGUGUGAAA
Molecule: non-coding RNA, 1942 nt
Organism: Equus caballus (horse)
Lineage: Eukaryota; Metazoa; Chordata; Mammalia; Perissodactyla; Equidae
Source: RefSeq, a predicted model, not a curated record